UGAUGCCUGCCCGGUGCCGGAAGGUUAAUUGAUGGGGUCAGCGCAAGCGAAGCUCCUGAUCGAAGCCCCGGUAAACGGCGGCCGUACCUAUCACGGUCCUAAGGUAGCGAAAUUCCUUGU
RNAcentral lists this ribosomal RNA (120 nucleotides) under Salmonella enterica subsp. enterica serovar Enteritidis. RNAcentral describes it as "partial 23S ribosomal RNA". It matches the Rfam family "Bacterial large subunit ribosomal RNA", at positions 1853 to 1972 of the family's 2925-position model. The record is from RNAcentral. Lineage: Bacteria; Pseudomonadati; Pseudomonadota; Gammaproteobacteria; Enterobacterales; Enterobacteriaceae.